Molecule: ribosomal RNA, 244 nt
Filed under: uncultured bacterium
Lineage: Bacteria
Description: partial 16S ribosomal RNA
Rfam family: Bacterial small subunit ribosomal RNA
Source: RNAcentral
CUCAAGCGUUGUUCGGAUUCAUUGGGCGUAAAGGGUGCGUAGGCGGCGCGGUAAGUCGGGUGUGAAAUCUCGGAGCUUAACUCCGAAACUGCAUUCGAUACUGCCGUGCUUGAGGACUGGAGAGGAGACUGGAAUUUACGGUGUAGCGGUGAAAUGCGUAGAUAUCAGGAGGAACACCGGUGGCGAAGGCGACCACCUGGACUGAUACUGACACUGAGGUGCGAAAGCGUGGGGAGCAAACAGG